Molecule: non-coding RNA, 65 nt
Filed under: unclassified sequences
Description: L2-Alphaproteobacteria ribosomal protein leader
Rfam family: L2-Alphaproteobacteria ribosomal protein leader
Source: RNAcentral
GGGUCAGGAAACUGACCCCAAACAUAAGGCGGGGUAACCCGUCUAAGCUAAACGGAAGACAGAAA